RNAcentral lists this ribosomal RNA (253 nucleotides) under uncultured bacterium. RNAcentral's name for it is "partial 16S ribosomal RNA". It matches the Rfam family "Bacterial small subunit ribosomal RNA", at positions 524 to 776 of the family's 1533-position model. The record is from RNAcentral.
UACGAAGGGGGCUAGCGUUGUUCGGAAUUACUGGGCGUAAAGCGCGCGCAGGCGGUUCGGCAAGUUGGGUGUGAAAUCCCCGGGCUCAACCCGGGAAUGGCCUUCAAAACUGUCGAGCUAGAGGACGAGAGAGGUGAGUGGAAUUCCCAGUGUAGAGGUGAAAUUCGUAGAUAUUGGGAAGAACACCGGUGGCGAAGGCGGCUCGCUGGCUCGUUUCUGACGCUGAGGCGCGAAAGCGUGGGGAGCAAACAGG